This 72-nucleotide transfer RNA is filed under the name Camelus bactrianus (Bactrian camel). It matches the Rfam family "tRNA". Rfam says of the family: Transfer RNA (tRNA) molecules are approximately 80 nucleotides in length. Lineage: Eukaryota; Metazoa; Chordata; Mammalia; Artiodactyla; Camelidae. The record is from Rfam by way of RNAcentral. RNAcentral also lists the same sequence under 3 other names.
GAGGGUACAGCUCAGUGGUAGAGUGAGUGCCUAACAUGCAUAAGGUCCUGGGUUCAAUCCCCAGUAACUUCA